UAGCUACAAAACACAUUAAAAAGAUAUAUAUAUAUACACACCUAUGUAUAUAUAUAUUUUUUCUCCAUAUUAACAUUUCCAGGUGGUGUUCGUUUUGAUUCUUGUGGAAGUAUCAAGAAACCAACUUUGUAGUGUACUAAAGAUGGAUAGAGCAGAUAAGAUCAUGGAAAGCACGAGUUUUCAUUUUCAGAAAGACCAGGAAGGAAUACUGUUCUCCUCAAAUAAAGUAGCAGUUAUGCUAUGCCAGAGUGGAGAACGUUGCUUCUUGCCAGG
Molecule: long non-coding RNA, 273 nt
Filed under: Vulpes vulpes (red fox)
Lineage: Eukaryota; Metazoa; Chordata; Mammalia; Carnivora; Canidae
Description: lncRNA (ENSVVUG00000014188.1)
Source: RNAcentral